This 3280-nucleotide long non-coding RNA is filed under the name Panax ginseng (ginseng). RNAcentral describes it as "long non-coding RNA (PGIN_LNC017990)". The record is from RNAcentral. Lineage: Eukaryota; Viridiplantae; Streptophyta; Magnoliopsida; Apiales; Araliaceae.
GAUUGUAUGGGUAUCAAUUGCAAUACUGGUGGGGUUAUUCAUGUUUCAAAGAUUUGGAACCGACAAAGUUGGCUAUACCUUCGCUCCCAUUAUUUGUGUUUGGUUCGCAUUCAUCGCAGCCAUUGGCGUCUACAAUUUCAUCAAAUAUGAUCCAUCCGUAGUUAAAGCUAUAAAUCCCAAAUAUAUCAUACACUAUUUCAGNNNNNNNNNNNNNNNNNNNNNNNNNNNNNNNNNNNNNNNNNNNNNNNNNNNNNNNNNNNNNNNNNNNNNNNNNNNNNNNNNNNNNNNNNNNNNNNNNNNNUAUACUCCCUCCGUCCCUAUUUAAAUUAAUGACGUUUUAGAGAUGAGCACAAACAUUAAGAUAAUGAUUGAAAAACAUUAAAUAUAGUACUCAAUUGUCUAUAAUACCCUUAAAUCUUUUGUUAGGAUAAGGAGAGUUUUGUUGAGAUAAGAAAAGUUUUGUUGGGAUAAGGGGAAAGAAAGAGAGAAAAAGUUUCAAAAAAGUAGGAAGAAUAAUGAGGGGUAAUUUUGGAAAAAUUGUCAUUAAUUCUCCUAGAUUUGAACAAACAUCAAAUAAUUAAGGACAAAUAAAAAACUCUAAAACGUCAUUUAAAUAGAGACGGAGGGACUACUAUGUUGCAUAGUACUAAUCGAACCUUGUAGGAAAAAAAAUGUCAAAAGUUGGAAAGGAUCAAAUGUUCACGCAGUACUACUAAAACUCAUUCACUCCCUGACGGCUGACCCCGGCCUUCACCUAAAAAUAAAAUACCUUUUUUAAUUCCUUUAAUUCUUUGUAGAAUCAAAUUAAGUUGGACAGGACGGUAGUUUUUACACGAUCUGUAAAAAAAUAAAAUAAAAAUAAAAAUAAAAAUGUUGAGUAUAAAUUACUAAACAUAUAGAUAUUGCAACCUAUACCAGCUUAAAAGUAAGUUAAAACAUGUGUUGUGUUGUUGGUUUAGGUGGAACUUUUGCUUUGUAUUCUUUGAUAUGCCGAUAUGCAAAGGUGGGUCUGAUUCCAAGUCAAGAAGCGGCAGAUAAAGAUGUGUCUAAUUUUCAGCUUGAGUUGCCUAAUAAUCGACUCAGGCGAGCAUCAAGCCUCAAAUCAAAGCUAGAGAAGAGCCAGUUUUCUAAAUUCUUCCUCUUGUUUGCCACCAUGCUUGGUACUUCCAUGGUCAUUGGAGAUGGAGUUCUCACUCCUUGCAUUUCAGGUUCUUGUUUUAAUUAUUUAUAUAUAUAUAUAUAUAUAUAUAUAUAUAUAUAUAUAUAUAUAUAUAUGGGGAAUGAUCCAUAGUUUGCGUCUGUCCAAUGAAAGAUCUAAGGGCUGGGUUGGGGGCGGCCGCUACUCCCUUUAGCGGUCAGCCAAAUUUUUUUAUGUUAACCGUUACUCCUUUUAAGAGUUAUAUACUUGCUUUGAAACUAACUCUGCUCCAAAUCAUUUGGCAGUUUUAUCGGCUGUGGGAGGAAUUAAGGAAGCUACGUCCUUCAUGACCGAAGGUACGUCCUAUAUAUACCUGCAAUAUCUUUCAUCAUUGAUAAUUAAAUAUGCAUAUAUUUUACCUAAUAAAGUUGUUGCUGCUCACUCUUUUUGUCCAAUAAAAAGUGUAGUGGCACAUUUGAUAUAUGGUUGGAUGUAAAUUUAUAACGAGCUAGGCAAUUUAAUUUUAUCAAUUUUUAAUUCUUAAAAUAUUUUAGAGAUGACUUAUUAUAUAUAAAGUAUUAUAAUUAAUCCAUCCUACGUACGUACAACGGUGUGGAAGAGCUCUUAAUUAGUUUAACAAAAUAUAAAAUUAAAAUUCAUAAAUAAGUAUAGUUAUUGCACGUCUAUAGUCUACACUCUACACCAUGCAUCAGUACCGGUGGUCCAUGACUGACCAAGUAUUUUUUUUAUUCAGUUAUAUAUAGUGACUGAAUUUUACAUAUUUUUAUGUCAAACUUAUGAAAUGAUUGAAUCAAUCGGAAAUGGUUAGCAUAAAAUUUAUUUUUGAAUAAAUUGGACAAUUAGUUAAUAGUGUUGACAUAUUGUGUGUCAAUAUUCUAUUGGCCGAUUGACACUAACUUAUUAAAAAAUGAACUUCAUGAUAAUCGAAUCCGAAUCAACUAUGAUUAAACUAGUGAUUUGCUUUCAUAGAUCCCAAAGUAAAGCACGUUCACUAGGAAUCUUCCACGUCUCUAGGAAAUAAUUUAGUUUGAAGUGGGUUAAUUGUUAUUUUGACUGUUUUACUAGGGUUAAAUUUUUAUUUUUAUUACUGUUUUUUUUGUUAUAAAAACAUUAUCACACUCAAAAAAAUAUUACAAUAUAAUUAUUAGUACUUAGUAGGAAUUCACCUACCACAUAUUUAAGUACCCCAUAUAAUAGUGGUUAAAUAUAAAUACAGACAAUAUUUCCGUUAAAUUUUUAGACGGAAUGUUAAGUAAUGAUUAGUUUAUAAUUUUUUUAAGUAUAAUAAUGUGUUUGUAUUAAAAAAAAUAUUUAAUAAUUAAAAUAAAAAUUGACCCUUAAUAUAAUAAUCAAAAUAUCAAUUAACCCAAUUGAAAGUGCAUGGAAAAAUUUAAAAAUUACAAGGAUAUUUUCGUAUUCGGUAUUUCACUCAAAGUCAUACAUUAAAAUAGAAAAACUAUCUUUAAAAUAUGUGUGGGUAGUUGUUGGCUUUGACUACUUUCCAACUUUGUCUUUUAGGUCGUGUGAAAGGGUUGAACUUCUGCCAAAUGAAUGAUAUUAAAUUAAAAUUAUUUCAGUUUAAUGUAUUUUCAAUCAUAAAAAGUUGUUAGUAUGACCCAUCACACAUCAUGUAACUUAAAACCAAAUAAAAAAGUUUUUGUGCAUAUAUUCUAAUUAAAAUGAGAGUUAUGAAAAUGUAAGGUUGUAAUUAAUUUCAAAAUAUUUAUGUAUAAUAAAUAAAUAGGCUUCAAAUUUACUAGUUGAGACAAAAUAGAAUUUGGUCAAUUUAAUUAUUAACUUUAUAAGAGUGCAAUUAAUUUCAAUAUAUAAAUUUUGAAAUGCAUUUAUAUAUGGAAACGCAUAGAUGAUAUAUAAUUUUGUGUGGAACACAGAUAGGAUUGUAUGGGUAUCAAUUGCAAUACUGGUGGGGUUAUUCAUGUUUCAAAGAUUUGGAACCGACAAAGUUGGCUAUACCUUCGCUCCCAUUAUUUGUGUUUGGUUCGCAUUCAUCGCAGCCAUUGGCGUCUACAAUUUCAUCAAAUAUGAUCCAUCCGUAGUUAAAGCUAUAAAUCCCAAAUAUAUCAUACACUAUUUCAGCAGGAACAAAAAACAAGCAUGGAU